Molecule: ribosomal RNA, 253 nt
Filed under: uncultured bacterium
Lineage: Bacteria
Description: partial 16S ribosomal RNA
Rfam family: Bacterial small subunit ribosomal RNA
Source: RNAcentral
UACGUAGGGUGCGAGCGUUAAUCGGAAUUACUGGGCGUAAAGCGUGCGCAGGCGGUUUGAUAAGCCAGAUGUGAAAUCCCCGAGCUCAACUUGGGAACUGCGUUUGGAACUGUCAGACUAGAGUGCGUCAGAGGGGGGUGGAAUUCCGCGUGUAGCAGUGAAAUGCGUAGAGAUGCGGAGGAACACCGAUGGCCAAGGCAGCCCCCUGGGAUGACACUGACGCUCAUGCACGAAAGCGUGGGGAUCAAACAGG